AGUUGGAGUUGCUGGUGUGGGGAAACAGUUGAUGGACAUUUCCAGAAGGCCAUAGUUUGGCGACCCCUGAUGUAAACGGUGGGAAAUUAUCCAUGAAAAUAUGGAAAAGCUGCUGAUGGUGUGUUUGACGGAGAAGCAGCUGGAAGGAGAUACCGUAGGAGUCCACUCUUCAAGAUACCAGGUGGUCAGGGAUGAUCUCUGGAGAGGUACCAGUUCAGAAUAGGCGCUCGCUGUUCCGAGUCGUGACCCGGGGUGGACUACUCUUCUGUGCAUCAGUUGAUGACAUCUGCAAGAAGAUCCGCCCUUUGCUGGCUUCCCGAUGGACUGGUCUUUCAUUGUAACAAUUGAAUAAUUCACCCAGUUUUGCAGCCAAUCAUCCAGGAGGGGGUCUCCACACGUCUGCAGCUCCACAAGGAGUCAUCUUUUUCCAAGCUUGAUCUUUUUAAGUUUUUGCUUGCCUAGGUGUGGGUUUAAGUGGGUGAAACUCUUUGAGGCAUUUGUGAUG
Nerophis ophidion (straightnose pipefish) is the source of this 505-nucleotide long non-coding RNA. RefSeq lists it as uncharacterized. Lineage: Eukaryota; Metazoa; Chordata; Actinopteri; Syngnathiformes; Syngnathidae. The record is from RefSeq and is a predicted model, not a curated record. The transcript has 3 exons.